RNA transcript from Gossypium raimondii (Peruvian cotton), 1300 nucleotides. RefSeq lists it as hypothetical. Lineage: Eukaryota; Viridiplantae; Streptophyta; Magnoliopsida; Malvales; Malvaceae. The transcript is spliced from 9 exons. The record is from RefSeq and is a predicted model, not a curated record.
UGGUGCAGAUUUGUAGUAAUCACGAACCUUUUUCUGGGAAAUAGGCUUGCCUUCUCAGCUAUGGAGAAUUCUUAAUGUUAAUAGAAAAUGCACCUUUGAAACUUUCAGAGAUUUUCUGUCUGAAAUAAUUCCCUGCUGCUCUUUUUCUUUUUCCUGCAAUGGCCGCUAAAUCGAUCGAGGAGGAGAAACCAUUCUUAUCGGGGAUGGGGGGUGGAAGCACCAAUGUACCAGUCAACAUUGCAUGUUUUGAGUUGAUUAAGCCAAGCUUUGAUGAGACCAACCAUCAUUGUUCUCUCGAUGUCUUGCCUAUUCUAAUAGAGGAGACUUCAUUUCCAGUAAGAGAAAAAUGCAGCUUAAACACUUCACAUGGCCAGGAUGUCUAUAGCAUUUCUGUGUUGCCAGAGGAAGGAAACACGAGUCCAAAAUGUACACCACAGUUCACUUUUUUGAGCCUCUUGGAAGUUCCUUUCCCAUCUAAAAACCAGAUGUGUUUGGAUGCAAAAUUGAGUUGCCGCAACUGCAUCGAUUUGAAAGUGGAUGGUGAAGAUGCUUAUUCAUCGUGCAUUCUGGAUAUAAACAUUGAGAAAGAGCUUCCUGACAUACUUACAUCCAGUGAUGAGAUUGUUGGAAAUUCUAAAACUGAAGGUGUACUGACAAAUUUGCAGAAGGUUUUGCAGAGACAGUCAAGCUUAAAUGUAGAAAAAUCAUUGACUGAGAGGGUUCAAGAAGCACCAAUGAAUAGAUGGAAAAGAUAUAAACGAGCUGCAUCAUUUGAUUCAAGGAAAAUAGUCUUCCUUUUCUCAAUCCUGUCAUGUUUGGGGACAUUGAUAUUGAUUUAUCUGACGCUGAGAGUUACGUCUAACUAUUGAUGUGUUCAAUCUACGUCAGUCAGGUUCAAAUUAUUUUUAAGAGCAAGUGUUGUUUUCAUAUGGUCUAAUAUUUGAUCAGGCGUUGCACACAGCUUUCUCCAACCAGACUCCCACUCCAACUUGGUUAAUACUUGAGGCAGAGUGUAUAGCCUUGGAGAGAAGUGUUGAGGUUGCGAACAAGCUGAACAUGCUGGGAAAGGUGACGUUCGAAACUGACAGUGCUGAGUUAGCAAACAAAUGGAAUAUGGAUGAUGGGGAUAUUACCAUUAUUGGCAGCAAAAUCAAAAAAUGCAAAGAAAUUUUUAAUUUGUUCAAUUCCGCCAGUUUAGCUUGAUCUUAUCGAUCCUGUAAUAGGGUGGCCGAUUUAAUUUGCACUAAAAUAUGUAGAGAAGUUAAGAAGUAAUUUUUUGAUAUGAAUUAUCCAAAAGACA